This 492-nucleotide ribosomal RNA is filed under the name uncultured bacterium. RNAcentral describes it as "partial 16S ribosomal RNA". It matches the Rfam family "Bacterial small subunit ribosomal RNA", at positions 29 to 507 of the family's 1533-position model. The record is from RNAcentral.
AGUGAACGCUGGCGGUAGGCCUAACACAUGCAAGUCGAACGGCAGCACAGUAAGAGCUUGCUCUUACGGGUGGCGAGUGGCGGACGGGAGAGGAAUACAUCGGAAUCUACUUUUUCGUGGGGGAUCACGUAGGGAAACUUACGCUAAUACCGCAUACGACCUACGGGUGAAAGCAGGGGAUCUUCGGACCUUGCGCGAUUGAAUGAGCCGAUGUCGGACUAGCUAGUUGGCGGGGUAAAGGCCAACCAAGGCGACGAUCCGUAGCUGGUCUGAGAGGCUGAUCAGCCACACUGGAACUGAGACACGGUCCAGACUCCUACGGUAGGCAGCAGUGUGGAAUAUUGGACAACGGGCGCAAGCCUUAUCCAGCCAUACCGCGUGGGUGAAGAAGGCGUUGGGGUUGUAAAGCCCCUUUGUUGGGAAAGAAAAGCAUCAGGUUAAUACCCCGCUGUUCUGACGGUACCCAAAGAAUAAGCACCGGCUAACUUCGUG